AGAGUUUGAUCAUGGCUCAGGACGAACGCUGGCGGCGUGCUUAACACAUGCAAGUGGAGCGACGAACCGGGGCUUGCCCCGGGGCAGAGCCGCGAACGGGUGAGUAACACGUGGGUAACCCACCCCGAUGACCGGGACAACCCGAGGAAACUCGGGCUAAUACCGGAUGUGCUCCUUGGCCUCGAGGCCAAGGCGUAAAGAUAGCUUCGGCCUUCGCAUCGGGACGGGCCCGCGGCCCAUUAGCUUGUUGGUGGGGUAACGGCCUACCAAGGCGACGAUGGGUAGCUGGUCUGAGAGGACGAUCAGCCACACUGGGACUGAGACACGGCCCAGACUCCUACGGGAGGCAGCAGUGGGGAAUCUUGCACAAUGCGCGAAAGCGUGAUGCAGCAACGCCGCGUGGGGGAAGACGGCCUUCGGGUUGUAAACCCCUUUCAGUUGGGACGAAGCUUCGCCGGUGAACAGCCGGCUGGAGUGACGGUACCUUCACAAGAAGCCCCGGCUAACUACGUGCCAGCAGCCGCGGUAAUACGUAGGGGGCUAGCGUUGUCCGGAAUCAUUGGGCGUAAAGCGCGUGUAGGCGGUUCGGUAAGUCCGCUGUGAAAGUCGGGGGCUCAACCCUCGGAUGCCGGUGGAUACUGUCGGACUAGAGUACGGAAGAGGCGAGUGGAAUUCCUGGUGUAGCGGUGAAAUGCGCAGAUAUCAGGAGGAACACCAAUUGCGAAGGCAGCUCGCUGGGACGUUACUGACGCUGAGACGCGAAAGCGUGGGGAGCAAACGGAUUAGAUACCCUAGUAGUCC
RNAcentral lists this ribosomal RNA (801 nucleotides) under uncultured bacterium. RNAcentral's name for it is "bacterial SSU rRNA". It matches the Rfam family "Bacterial small subunit ribosomal RNA", at positions 8 to 796 of the family's 1533-position model. The record is from RNAcentral.